GUGGGGGGGCGUGCUUACACAUGCAAGUCGAGCGGUAAGGCCCCUUCGGGGGUACACGAGCGGCGAACGGGUGAGUAACACGUGAGCAACCUACCCUCAACUUUGGGAUAAGCCUCGGAAACGGGGUCUAAUACCGAAUAUCACUCCUUGUUUCAUGGCGGGGGGUUGAAAGUUCUGGCGGUUGGGGAUGGGCUCGCGGCCUAUCAGCUUGUUGGUGGGGUAAUGGCCUACCAAGGCGUCGACGGGUAGCCGGCCUGAGAGGGCGACCGGCCACACUGGGACUGAGACACGGCCCAGACUCCUACGGGAGGCAGCAGUGGGGAAUAUUGCGCAAUGGACGAAAGUCUGACGCAGCAACGCCGCGUGAGGGAUGACGGCCUUCGGGUUGUAAACCUCUUUCAGCAGGGACGAAGCGAGAGUGACGGUACCUGCAGAAGAAGGACCGGCCAACUACGUGCCAGCAGCCGCGGUAAUACGUAGGGUCCGAGCGUUGUCCGGAAUUAUUGGGCGUAAAGGGCUCGUAGGCGGUUCGUCACGUCGGGAGUGAAAACUCGGGGCUUAACCCCGAGCCUGCUUCCGAUACGGGCAGACUAGAGGUAGGCAGGGGAGAGCGGAACUCCUGGUGUAGCGGUGGAAUGCGCAGAUAUCAGGAAGAACACCGGUGGCGAAGGCGGCUCUCUGGGCCUUACCUGACGCUGAGGAGCGAAAGCGUGGGUAGCGAACAGGAUUAGAUACCCUGGUAGUCCACGCCGUAAACGUUGGGCGCUAGGUGUGGGGGACAUUCCACGUCCUCCGUGCCGCAGCUAACGCAUUAAGCGCCCCGCCUGGGGAGUACGGCCGCAAGGCUAAAACUCAAAGGAAUUGACGGGGGCCCGCACAAGCGGCGGAGCAUGCGGAUUAAUUCGAUGCAACGCGAAGAACCUUACCUGGUUUGACAUAUAGGGAAAUCUCCCAGAGAUGGGGGGGUCCGUAAGGGUCCUAUACAGGUGGUGCAUGGCUGUCGUCAGCCUCGUGUCGUGAGAUGUUGGUUAAGUCCCCGCAACGAGCGCAACCCUCGUCCUAUGUGCCAGCCACGUAUGGUGGGGACUCAUAGAGACUGCCGGGUCACCUCGGAGAAGGUGGGGAUGACGUCAAGUCAU
RNAcentral lists this ribosomal RNA (1139 nucleotides) under Kribbella sp. RNAcentral describes it as "bacterial SSU rRNA". It matches the Rfam family "Bacterial small subunit ribosomal RNA", at positions 35 to 1193 of the family's 1533-position model. The record is from RNAcentral. Lineage: Bacteria; Bacillati; Actinomycetota; Actinomycetes; Propionibacteriales; Kribbellaceae.